Mercenaria mercenaria is the source of this 3550-nucleotide long non-coding RNA. RefSeq lists it as uncharacterized. Lineage: Eukaryota; Metazoa; Mollusca; Bivalvia; Venerida; Veneridae. The transcript is spliced from 3 exons. The record is from RefSeq and is a predicted model, not a curated record.
AUAGUUUGUGCUUUUAAUUAUGUGCAUUUAUUUCAUUAAAGGGCUUGGUUCACUAAUGUACGUAAAUGGCACCGAAUUUUAGCCAUAUUAUAGAUUACUUAUUCUACAUUGAUACAUAUGCUGUCCGUAACAAGGAAACACCAUGCUUCAUAUAUAAGUAAAUAACUUUGAAAAAUAAUGUUUAUAUAUUACUCCAAACAUGCCCCACUUUCCAAAAAAAAUGUGAAUUUUUCAUGAAAUUUGAGACUUUAUUUAUGAUUUUCGCCUUGGCGGCAUCCUUUACCAGUCUUAAUAUUUUAACCACUACUUCGUACAUUAAAAACCAACAAAAAGUGCAAAAAUCAACGCUGGUGAGCAAUGCCGCCAUAUUCAAAAACGAAAAAAACGUCCGUCUCCGAGACACAUUUUUAUCCCAAAUUACACAAGCCUCGAUUUCGGUAAAAUGACGUUGAAGUUGACGUCACUUAAUUAGAUAUUUGUUUUCAUUAAUUUGUUUUUCAAGCAACAGCCAUUAGUGUUAAAAUCAAUAAUAUCGGACGAAGAUUUUUAAGUUUUUAAAACGUUUCAACAUUUAGUUAUCGCACAAGUGAAAUAUCACAAACCUAAUGAGUGAAUUAGCGAAUUGUUUCCCUUUGAAAUCAACACGCCAUUAUCGGUGGAUACAUUUCUGAAACUGGGUCAGAGAAUACAUGCAGUUAUUGCUCUGAAUAUACGCGGAUAUUUAAAGUGCAUGGCGGAUUUAUUAAUUGUUAUGGAUAACCUCCAGCAGUAAGAAAUAUAAAGGCUCACUGCAGUUUUGACUAUGCUCAACAAGUAUUGACCCCAUACUAUGCUCAGCAAGUAGGGCCCUUGUAUUUCUAUGAAUCCUCAUGCAGUACAGUACUGCUGUUGGAAGAGGAGCAAACAGUGUGGUAUCUUCAAGCAUCAUGGCUAUGGAGAAAAGAAUGUUUCAUUACAUAUGGACAAUUAUAGUGGACAAAAUAAGAAAAGUGUUGUAAUAAGGUAAGAAUUCCCAAUAAAUAAAUAUUUAUUAAGCACAUAGAAUUUGAUGUUGAAAUAUUUAAUUUUACAGUGUGUAGGGCGUGGGCAGUGUUGCAUUUUCCACUACUGCUCAUGAACAGACUCAAUCAAACCGAGUCUGCAAUUUUCACUGUUUGCCUUGUUCUCGGUGCUUCCGAGGGAUCUACUUUCCAGAUUUUAUUCAUACACUUCAGUUUGGAAAGUCACUAGUUUCCAGUUUAUAUAUAUAAUGUGCAUAAUUUUAGGUAAAUGAAAAAUAAUAUCUCCACUGAUAAACAUUGAAUUACAAUUUGAAUAUUGCAUACUUACACAACAUACUGUAUUAAGACUUAGGUGUGUAUGUAAGAAAAUUAACUGUGUAGCUGGCAUUUAUUUGUUUUAAUAAAGUGACGCUAUGUUAUUUUCUAAGGACUCACUAUUGCUACUUAGAAGAUUUUGUUUAAGAAUUCAUUGUUUAAAUAUACUCCUUAUUUUACCUAUGGAAUGUGGCUUGUUAUGAUGGGUCUACAUGCUGACUUGGAGUACAACCUGAUUGAGGCCCGGCAUACAGACAUCAGUCCUGAACAUGUUUAGGUAUAUUUGGCUUGAGCCUCUUUGAUCAAUUAUGUUUUUCAUUAAUAAUCAAGUAUUGAUAAAACUUGCUGCAGAGAUCAUGUCUGUAAAGAGGCCACUUACAUUUAAAUACCACAUUUUCUGUUUAUUUAUGUAUUCUGAAUGAAAUGAAGUCAUAUCAUAAACAAGAGGGUCAUGAUGACAAUGAAUCACUCACCUGAGUAAUAUGAGCCACAUGUUUCAAAUGGCAAACUGAAGCAAAAAUGUUAGAAAGUAGGUCAGUAGGUCAAAUUCUUGGUCACUGAAAGUCAGUUUUAAGAUUGGUGUGCAGAACUGUACAUGUCAUCCAAAUUUCAAGCUUCUAUCUUAAAAAACAAGAAAGUAGGUCAAGGUCACAGUCAAGUGACUCCUAAUCACUUAGGGUCAUCAGGUAAUUAUAAUUAAACAGUCUAGGAAAUAUGAUCUGAUAAUUUUUGAAGUAUUUAUUCUUAUAUAACUCAUAUAACAAGUGACCCCUGGGGCGGGGCCUCUUUUCACCCCAGGGGCAUAAUUUGAACAAAUUUGCUAGAUAUCCACUAGGCAAUGCUACAUACCACAUAUCAAAUGCCUAGGCCUUAAACUUCCAGAAAAGAAGAUUUUAUUUUUUUCCCUUAUAUAAAAUAGAGAAAAGUGGAAACUUCACAGGUCGCUCAACACGACAAAAACGAAAAUGUUGCAGGCUCGGUUUGAUUGAGUCUAUUUUAAAUUUGGGACACCCAGGGCAGGGCCUCAUUUCACCCCAGGUGCAUAAUUUGAACAAUUUUGGUAGAGGACCACAAGGCAAUGAAACAUACCAAAUAUCAAAAGCCUAGGCCUUGCCGUUUUAGGCAAGAAGAUUUUUAAAGUUUUUCUUAUAUAAGUCUAUGUAAAACUUAAGACCCCCCGAGGCAGGGCCUCUAUUCACCCCAGGGAUGAAUCUUGGAAGAGGACCACAAGGCAAUGCUUCAUAUCAAAUAUCAAAGGCCUAGGUCAUACGGUUUCAGACAAGAAGAUUUUCAAAAAAAAUUCCUAUACAAGUCUAUGUAAAUUUGGGACCCCCGGGGCUGGGCCUCUUUUCACCCCAGGGGCACAAUUUUAACAAUAUUCAUAGAGGACCAUUAGAUAAUUUCACAUGCCAAAUAUCAAGGCUCUAUGCCUUGCGAUUUGGACAGGAAGAUUUUUAAAGAUUUUCAUUAUGUUCACGGACGCACGACACACGACGGACAACGGACAUUGAGCGGUCACAAAAGCAUUAGCCUUUGGCUCAAGUGAGCUAAUAAAAAGGGUGAAAAUUCAGUAGAUAAUAGUCAUUUUUGCAAAUAUACCCCUGGAUAAUUCAACAGAUUUUCUGUAAUAGGGGGUGGGCAUAUGAAACCGCUAUAUUUCUGUAACUGUUGGUGAAAAGUUUCUAAUAUUUCACGAACAAUCUUGUAUUUGCACAUAGAUUUUAAAAAUGUUAUGAUACAGAGUAUCUAGAGACUAGUCCAUUAAGAUCCCAUUACGUUUAUUCCGAAGCUACAAGUUGUUUCAAAACAUGCCUUUUGUUUCAGGUAGUUGAAAUAUUCCAAUAUAUAUCAAAUGCAAGUGUAAAGAAAGAAAUUAUAUUGAAAAUAAAAGAAAUAAUUCACCUUUAAACACUUUUGUAUCAAAGGGAGAUAAUUACAAAAAUUCAUAAAAAGUAAUAGAUCAUACAUUUCCAAUAGGGAUCUAACUCUAUGUAAUGGGUCUUUUUGUUCCUUAAAUAAAUCUCUAAACAGUAUAUAUGAAAACUGAAAAAUGUCCGAAAAUGUUAGAGGUUAGUUAAUGAACAGUGUUAUAUUUAGAUAACAUGAUUAAAGUAAGUAGUCAGCUAUCCACACUUUAAAUCAACAGCAAUCAGACAUCAAGUCUACAUCCAAUCCUAUUUCUACCGCUAUUACAAAAUAAGUACUUUUCGUAUCUCCAGUUUGGAAGAGUAACU